UCCUGAAACUGACAAAAAUGCUGGCUGGUUGCCCUUUAGCCAAGCUCUCCCAUUUGAUCAGCGUUUCAGUUGCUUUGUGGUGAUGUCUGUAAAUGGAGGUGGAAGAGAGAGGAAGAGCAUGGCAAACAUCUCUCCCUUUUAUCAUGUCCUUUCUUCCCUCUUGAUUUUGCCCCCUCCCCGCUUCCAAGUCAGGUGAACAUUACCUCAUUGC
Chelonia mydas (Green sea turtle) is the source of this 211-nucleotide long non-coding RNA. RefSeq lists it as uncharacterized. The record is from RefSeq and is a predicted model, not a curated record. The transcript is spliced from 3 exons. Lineage: Eukaryota; Metazoa; Chordata; Testudines; Cheloniidae.